AACCACUCCCCACCUGCUUCUUUCCCCCUUCCACCGAGGCAACCAACGCAAACCCUAGACCUCCUCCUCCCUCGCGCUGUCGCCCCAUCUUCUCUCAAUUUUCUUCUUCUCUGUGAACCAACAAAACGAACGAACAGCACACCACCAUGGCGCCGAUGUUCCAGACCUUCCCCCACCAUUCUGAGGGCACCGUUAGAAGCGCCUCGUCGUCCUCUUCUUCCGUGUGCAAGUAAUCGAGCCGGGGCUCGCUCAAUCAACGCCAGUUUCGUCGAUUCUCUUCUCCGGCCGUCACCCUCCGGCGAGGAUUCCGGCCGCCUCCGUCAUCCCCCGAACUUUCUGCGGCUUUCUUCACGUUCCUGGUGCUCGCCGUCGGCAUCGCUCCGGUGCCUCCCCGUCUUCAAUUCCGCCAGAUCCUGCAUCCCCACGAAGUUACGCAUCGAACGCGCCAUCUCCCUCGUCCUGAUUCGCGCGGAAGUGCCAGAUCCCUCCUCGACUGAGGCAUCCUCCAUGGCUGAACGUGUGCGAUCUCGACUGCAUGUUUUCCUAUGUGUUCAAGUAGUGCGUCCCCGUCUUAUACAUCAGUAACAUCUACCAGCGCAGUGAUCCACACGCUGAUGGGCCUGGCCCCAGAUCCUCCUGGCACAGCCCAACGCCUAGGUCGAGCCAACCUUCCCCUGUCGGCCAGCAUUUGCUUCUUCCCGGAUAGGAUCGCGAACUGGUGCGGUGAGAUACGACAAGUUCUCCGGAUGUCCCUCGGCAAGCUUUAACAGGCAAGCAUUUUCCCCUAUACUUCUGCCCCUGCAGAAGUCGCUCACCUAUUUUAUUUUGCCUUCUCCCUCAUGCUAUCCUUAAGUUGCGUUCUUGUCACGUGUCCCUUCCACUUGUUACCUCAAGCAGACCAUAUUGCCACCACCAACCACCAACUACCUACAGAUGUUGUUUGGUUAUCGGGUCUGCCUUGCGAGUCGUAGUGCAUGCUAGUGCUGUUUAUAUCUCGUUACCGUUACCGCUAUCUUAUCGGGUUAUCUGUUGGGAAUCAUGACACAUGGUUUAUGGACAUAUCUGUUGAGGGUAUCAUGGUUACUUGUUAAUAAUUGUUAGCGGAGGCAUCGGUGGGUCAGCUGAUCAUUUUAUGAUGGCUCACUUGUGUUUCAUAAAUAUCUUAGGACCCCGAGUUCUUGUUAUCUGUUCUGAGACUGAGCGCUCUAACCACACGUGGGUAUGUUUCUGGGUCUCCCCUCGGCCACUGCCGGAAUCUACAGCUCUGUCCAGUGGCCACAACUAGUUUGCCAUAUUUUUACCAUUUGUUGUUGCGUGCAUGCCUGCCUGCUACUUAUUUACUUUGGGAAGCCCCUGGGUGCCUUGUAUCCCUUGUUUCUGGUAUGCACGUAUAGGUCGUGGAGCCUCUGCGAAGUGGUUUAUCGCCCCAGUGUGUGUUUAAACCACCUAGCACGUUGACACACAUAGCUAAGUCCGCUUCGGAGAUACGGCCGGACUUCGAUACGGGUUCAACUUGGUUAGGUGGCUUCCUGGACAUUGUUGUCGUGAAGGUGAGUGCGAGUCGUGAUAUUCACCUGUCGCAAGUGGGUUGAUCGUGCGUGUGGACACAUUUGGGCACCCCUGCAGGGUUAAUUCUUAUCGAUAAGCCGCGUCCGCGGUUAUGGACGACUUGGAGCUGUAUGACUCGGCCAUAGACAACUUACACCUGCUGUUUCAAUCAUAAUAACUUGUGUAGUAAGCUAGAACAACUCUAAUAAUAAAUGGCUAAAACUUCACAACCGUGUGAGUGCCUUUGCAAGUAUUUCUUGGCGAAGGGGGAACACAUCGGCUGUGUUAUGUUUGCAGAGUAUAGAACUGUUAGUUACGCUCUCUCACCUUCUCUUAUAGACGACUGUUGUAGAGUGUCUCUAUAGGUUUUUAGUGCUUGCGCGCUGCCGCUUAACCCCACCAUAUUGCCUAUGACGUUUCUCUUGCGUCCUCUAAGUCCCCUGCGUGCCUCAAGUACAAAGGACGACUGGUUGACGAAUGCUUAUACGUCUUGAAGUCUUGUUAAGUACGAACCCGUACUUAUUGCUGCUUCUACGGGACAUAAGCGGGCAGGUAUGAAGAUAUGUUCGAUGAAGACGACGUUAGCAAGGUUACCCUUCCGGCUUGGCCUGGGCAGGGUUAUGGACGCCAUCGUUUAUCUUCAGGACUCUUAGUCCAAGUUGUAUCUUGUCCGUACUCGGAUGUAUUCGAUCUUCUGUAUGAUUUGGAUCUUUGUAUGUAUAUAUUUGUAUCUUGACUCGUUGGAGUCGUUGUUGUAAUAUAUCUGUUUCUUCUGGGCUC
Lolium perenne is the source of this 2328-nucleotide long non-coding RNA. RefSeq lists it as uncharacterized. The record is from RefSeq and is a predicted model, not a curated record. Lineage: Eukaryota; Viridiplantae; Streptophyta; Magnoliopsida; Poales; Poaceae.